Molecule: long non-coding RNA, 4415 nt
Filed under: Cucumis sativus (cucumber)
Lineage: Eukaryota; Viridiplantae; Streptophyta; Magnoliopsida; Cucurbitales; Cucurbitaceae
Description: long non-coding RNA (CSAT_LNC001088)
Source: RNAcentral
GAUUGCAAGAAGGAGAGAAAGCCACAGUUGAACUCUUACAGUCGUACACGUGUGAGAAGGAUAAGAAUUUAGGGUUGCAAGAUGAAAAGAGGGAAUACAAAAAAACAAAGGGGAAGAAUUACUUUACCUUUUCUUUUCUUUCUCCUUCUUCGUUCUCUCUGUUUUGCAAAUAACCCUAAUGUGGUUCUUCCUUUUGUGGUUUGAUUUUAGUAUAAUGAACUCACUAUAAUGAGAAGAUUAAGGAGAAGAAGAAGGAUGCUACAAGUAUUUACGUGGUUCGGCCAAGAUAAAACCUACAUCCACGAGAAGGAUCUUUUCUUUUGUAAUGAUGAAGAUGAGUAUACAAAAUUCACUCUUUUCCUUUCUUCUCUCUUUUUGAUGAAAAGUAUGUGUCUAUUUUUCUAUUUUGUUAGGAAGCACCUUUAUAUAUUUAUAGGUGGUUACACAACAGAAGUAGUUAGAAAAAGAAAGAAAAAAGACUUAUGAAUUUCAGUUGGAAUUCAUUCUGUUUUACACUUUGCCUAGGCCCUUUCUUUGACUAUAUGCCUUGCCAUCUCUUCUUAUCAUCUAGCUCCUUUCCUUGACAUGCUUUAAGCUACCAUACACUCCAACCAAGAAAUUUGUACAACUAUGUACUUUCCAUGGUUUUUCAAAAAUUACUAUUGAAAUGCCUUUUUUAACCGAGUGUUGAAAUAAAAUUUCCUUUUUGUCCAAAACAUUAUACGAGUUCUUUAAUUCGUCAUAAAUACUUAAGACCUUGGUAUAAUUCCUUUUCCUACCAACUUUUACCAAGUUACGUUCUUAAGCUCGUUGAAAAUUUAAAGAAUGCUUGAAAAUUCCCUUAAGACUUUGGAAUCGAAGCUUACAUAUUAUUUUCUGGAAUUUCCCAAUCAACGUUUUGAUCUCUCUUCACACACGUCCUCCUCGUCAGACGAAAAAAUUCAAAUAUAUUUUCAUCCACGCGUCUCUCCUCCUCUAUCCGCCAUGUGUCAGCACCUCCUCGUGUGCGGAUCCUCAGCCACCCGAGUUCGAAUCCCACCGACUUAAACUCAUUUUUUUUAUAUGUUUUCAAUGACAUUUUCAUGAUAGUUUUGCAACUUUCUUAAAAAUAGCCAAUUUUCGUCAAUUCUCUCCAUGCCUUCGCUUAAAAGUCAUGGUUUCGAACCCCAUAAACUGUUAUUUCCAUUAUUUUUCUAUAUAAGCCGUAAUUUCCCCAAUUAAUUCAUCAAUUCACAAAUUAAUCCCAAAUUCUCUAAAAAGUCCCAAUCCUCUUCUUCAUUGUGCCUCUUUUCUUCCCUCAAAAUAAUUUUGAGCAAUGUCUAAUUAAUUCUUGAAAUUGUCCUUGAUUCACCAAUUUGUAUGCAAGAUACUUUGACUAUGGAAAAUGAGUGCAAGAAUGAUUUGAUUACAUUUGUCUACACAAAAACUCAAUUUAAUUCUUGAUUUCAACGUGUCAAAUCUUGAUAUUGAUUAAUGCCAGAUGAAUCACCCUUGUUCUUGGCAAUUUGUGAAUUUUGCAUCAACUUGAUGUGCACAAUUAAAUCCAAUUAAUUCAUUGUUGCAAAUUAUUUCCAAAAAAGUACCAAAGAUACUUUGAUCUUCUUUAAAGAGCAAGAAUUAGACAUUAGUUGUUAUUGCAAGAAUAUACAAUAAAUGCUUUUGAUGAUUAUCUCUUUUCUUGAAGCUUGAUUAAAGUUCUUAUAAGAAUGAAGCAAGUUGAUCUUGCAAGAAUCUUGAUCAAAAAUCUCCUUUUUUGAGAAAAAAACCAUUUCAUAUUCCUUUUAUUUCAAUUAUAAGAAUUGAAUAAUGCCUAUGGCUCAUUUCCUCAUUUUUCUUGUAGAGUUUAAUUUUUACAUUUUUUUUUUGUUUAAUUGAGUUUACAUCCUAAAUCAACCUUAAUUCUUGAUUCAACUUGAUUUUUUCCACAUUUUCUUUCAUGCUUUCCUGUUCUACUAACAUCACUUCUUUGAAGCUUGAUUUCAGAAUAUUUAUUUUAUCACCGUUCUGUUGGGUUCGACACUCCUACUUACCAUCGACCUAUGAUAAAAAGUAAGGGUAAAUUUUUAAAUACUUUUUGUCGAGGUAAAUCUUGGUAAAUGCAACCUACUCUUAGCAAGCUAAAUUUCAUUAUUAAACAUAUUAGUGCUUGACUCUAACAACCUUACCGAUAUAUAGUUUCAUACGUAUUGUUUUUGCCUUGUCAUAUGCUUUACUACUAUGUGACUACUUCUAUGCUUUCAUAACUAGUAUUAAACAUGUCACAUGUUUCUCAGGUUUUGAACAUAACAUGGCUAAAUGCAACACUUGACUCAUAGGAGAACAAUUAAAACUUUAACUUUUGAAAGAGAAGUCACUUACUAACCAAAUUUAUUUUCCUUUUCCUUUUUCCCUUCUGAUGCCUACCCUAUGCUUCCCAAUGCUUAGUCCUCUUUAACACCUAAUUCUUACGACCCUCUCAAAGCUAACCUUCUUUUCUUACUCCAGCUUCAACUUAUGACAACUCUUAGUCUAUUUAUACUAGUCUUGAGCUUAGAUUGAUCACCUUUAAACUCUUUUAAUUCGAUAAGUACCUACUUAGCCUUUUACACGUGUCAUUCCAUUAGUUAUUAGUUAAAAUAAUUCUAAUUAAGCCACCUUAAAUCUACUUAAAAUCUUAAACUGUCACGUGCCCCACUACUUUCCAUACUUCACAGUCGUAGCUAUCUAACUAAGCGCAUCCACCCUUAACUCUUGACUGCCAAGCCCUUUCUUUCUCAUGCGUCCUUCUUCGUCGUCUAGCAUCAUAUAUAACACCUACCAAAAUAUUUACAACCUCCAUUAAUAUCUUGGUUUCACACUUUGAUUUCCAUCUAUCCCCUUAACCCCUUCUUUUAAACUUUGAUUUCCUAACUUCUAACGCCUAGUACUCAAAACAUGGGUAUCACAAUUUUCAUGCAAGGCAUACAUCAUCUCGGGGCUCUGAAGAUCUUGUGCAUGUAAAGUUUUGUCACAAUUGUGGAGCCAUCGAGGUUUAUUUCAAAAGUGUGCUUAAAUUUAUCUUUUUAUCUUUCACACAUUUAUCGAAACACACUGUCUUUCUCUCUUUUUUCUCUUUGAUGUGAAUCCAACAAUUGGUCCAUUAAUUGUACCCGAAGCAACAAUUACAAGAAGCAAGAUAAAGAAGAUUCAAGAGGCUUUCACACUACACCUUCAAAAGCUAGCAAAAUUUCAUCAAGCAACAAACAAUUUUGACUCAAAUUUAUAUUCAAUGUUAGUUCAAUGACUCAAGAUGAGAAUGGAGUGAAUAUAGCAUGAGAAAAGUCUAAUAACUUGAAAGAUGACACAAAGGAAAAAGGGUGUACAAAUUUUACGAAGAACGUGUUGUUAUUCGUGCAAUGCACGAGAAAACAUGAUGUCAAACCUUAUUAAAUAUGCAAAACUACUUUGGCGCCUUUUAGAGGCAAAAUUUAAGGCAUUGAUGAUUUUCUACAUUUUUAGUUUUCCAGUUUGAUUUAUAAUUUAGUACAUAAUAUUGUUUUAAGUUCUUAGGUUUUAUUUUCUGCAAUUGGCAUUUAAGUGUAUUUGAAUGACUUUUGAACUUUCACCCCAUGCACAACUUUUUAGUCUAUAAAAUGGCUUGUAGUGCAUGCUCACAACUUUUUAGUCUAUAAAAUGGCUUGUAGUGCAUGCUCUCUAAAAUUCAGAAUAUCAAUAUUAAAAAGCUUACGCUUAAUCCACUCUUUUGGUAUUGUGUUAACUUUUCAAAUCUUGCUUUAGAUUUGAUGUUAAAAUCAAAUCAUUAGAUUAGUCUUGUUCAAUUAGCUAAUUUUAAAGUGAAUUGUCUUUGGAUCUUUGAGUGACCAUCAUAGGUUCUAAGUUUGAUCUAAGUUAACUUUUUUUGUGAGUGAUUGCAAGGAUCCUAAUAAAAGACCUCUAUAUAGCUUUGCAUGUAACAAAAAAAGAAGAUGCAAAUCACUCUUUAUUAAUGUUUUCAAACUCCAGACUAAAUAACCAAACCCUAACUUCACACGAUCUGACCGAGCACCUUAAACAUAAUUUUAUGUUCUUACAAACAUUGAGAGAGAAGUGUAAAAAAAAGAUAUUUUUUUUAUUUCUUAAAAGUGUUAAAAAUGUAUAUCAUCUUGUAAUAUAUUUAUCACAGUGUUUGUCUUUCCCAGGUACUUGCGUUCGUGGUAAAAAGAAAAAAAACUACAAUACAUUUAAUAAAAACAUUUGUUAUUUAUAUUUAGGUUCUUCUAAACAAUAUGAUAAAAUGCAUUUUUAGUUCUUAGUGUUAUGAUAUAUAUAUAUAUAUAUAUGUCCUUUAUUGUAAUUUUACAUAGUCUCUAGGGUUUAGUUUAUUCUCUAUAUAAAUAUGUAACAUUGCUUUGACUCAAUGAUAAUAAGACAUAUACGUUUCUGAAUUCUAAAUUACA